UCGGGAAUUUCAGGCAUUGGUGAUAAGUUGAUGGGACUGCCUUCAUAUUGUAUAGGCAAGGUCUUUCGAGUACUGCGUUAAAUUGGCAGGUCAAUUUAUAACGAUGAAUUCAAUGAUAUUUCAGACAUAUCUGCCGUGAUUGCGAGGUCGAUUGAUCCAAGGGAGUAUGUCGUUUCUCCAGCAAAGCCGAUCAGUGGUGUUAGUUCUUGUUUGAGGAGAGCUUUGGUGAAACCCAUUCUUUUGAAGGCGUCGUAAAAUAGAAUG
Molecule: long non-coding RNA, 264 nt
Filed under: Brassica napus (rape)
Lineage: Eukaryota; Viridiplantae; Streptophyta; Magnoliopsida; Brassicales; Brassicaceae
Description: long non-coding RNA (BNAP_LNC011717)
Source: RNAcentral